AUUGAACGCUGGCGGCAGGCCUAACACAUGCAAGUCGAGCGGAUGAAGGGAGCUUGCUCCUGGAUUCAGCGGCGGACGGGUGAGUAAUGCCUAGGAAUCUGCCUGGUAGUGGGGGAUAACGUCCGGAAACGGGCGCUAAUACCGCAUACGUCCUGAGGGAGAAAGUGGGGGAUCUUCGGACCUCACGCUAUCAGAUGAGCCUAGGUCGGAUUAGCUAGUUGGUGGGGUAAAGGCCUACCAAGGCGACGAUCCGUAACUGGUCUGAGAGGAUGAUCAGUCACACUGGAACUGAGACACGGUACAGACUCCUACGGGAGGCAGCAGUGGGGAAUAUUGGACAAUGGGCGAAAGACUGAUCCAGCCAUGCCGCGUGUGUGAAGAAGGUCUUCGGAUUGUAAAGCACUUUAAGUUGGGAGGAAGGGCAGUAAGUUAAUACCUUGCUGUUUUGACGUUACCAACAGAAUAAGCACCGGCUAACUUCGUG
This 484-nucleotide ribosomal RNA is filed under the name uncultured bacterium. RNAcentral's name for it is "partial 16S ribosomal RNA". It matches the Rfam family "Bacterial small subunit ribosomal RNA", at positions 30 to 507 of the family's 1533-position model. The record is from RNAcentral.